CUGGGCACCACCGCGCCGCCACCUCCCUCCCUGCGCGCAGCACUGCCCGGCCUCAUCCUCCCUGCCCCAACCUCCUCCCCUUCUCCGGCGCGGCUCCACCUCCCGUCCACCGGAGCGGCUCCACCUCCUCGUCCCGGCCGGCCAGGUGAUGUGCGCGCAUCAGUUCGCGCGAGGCCCGGCUGCCAGGCACCCUUUCGCCAUUUGGCGCAACGCCAUGGGUAAAGCCAGAGAUGGAGCUACCGGUUCCAGCACCGGCACCUGCGACGUCAGUCCACCGACGUGCUUGGCGCCGUCCACAACUCCAUCGCGCUCGAGCCGAUCAUCUUCCUCAAUGUUCUGGCCACGGCUCCCCACUGCCAAACACGAGAUCCCAACCACUUCUUCUGUAAAAACUGAAGUUAUCUGAAACGCUGGCAGUCUACAAACUAUAUUAUUGGUAGUAGCUGUUCAAUGUAUAUAUUAGAAGAAGUAAAAAAGGAAAAAGUGGUGCCCGUGCAUGAGGACAUGAGGUGGCACCACACAAAGCAGCAAUAAUAACACUGAAUGGGGCUUGUUGAUGGCAAGCAUAUCUGAAGACUCUGGUGAAGAAACACCACUACAGGUGGCACCACUACAUGUUUUUGUCAGGCUCGCCUUUUCGAUGCGCAAAAUGAUGAGGGAUAAAGCUCUGGUCAGGAGACUUUCUGCAUGCGAGACAAUGGGUUCUGCAACAACAAUUUGCAGUGACAAGACUGGAACAUUAACUUUAAAUCAGACGACUGUUGUUGAGGCAUACUUUGGUGGUGAGAAGAUGGAUCCUCCAGAUAACACUCAGAAGCUAUCUGCUGCUAUAUCAACAAUGAUUAUUGAAGGAAUUGAUCAGAAUACAUCUGUAAGCAUAUUUGAGCCGGAGGUCAGGCUAUACUUAUAAAUUUACGUCACAUGCACUUUUUCAUCCACGAAUCUGAACAUCUUUUUCUUCCUUUUAACAUGUUAUGGUUUAGCUGUGUGGCUUAAUGGUGGUGGAGGUUGUUCUGUAGACUGCCUCUAGUGCUCGGGCCACGGCAUUCACCGCCACCACUCCAAACCAUUCACCAUCGCCUUACGAGUCCGUUCAACAACAGAGGGGGCGUCAUGCUGCGGGUGGACGUGGUGUUGUGCUAGGGUCCUCGAUAGUUAGUGCUCCUUCAUAGAGGAGCACAGGCGGCGGCUGGCAAAAAUGCACGACACAGCGCUCUAUCGGCCUUCCUCCUCUUGCUGGGAGGCUGUCAGCUGGUUGUUGACUCGUUCUGUGUGCGGUGGAAGAGAACUCACUCGUCCCAGCUGCUAAAUUUCUUGCAUCUGAGUGCAUCACAAAAAGUGGCAAAAAGAAAAUGGAUAAAAAAGGAGUUCUCACAUCAGGUGACAUGCCAAAAAGAAUCCAAGCCUCACAACUCAACGCGGGGUCAGACCAGAUGACCAACAUCUCUCUUGCUUAGUAUGACAAGGAUGUCAAUGAUAAUGAAAACCUCCCUCACAGCAGAGCGGCGGAGUGCAUCCUUGCCAUCUACAUUUCAGAGCCCCAUCAGUUCAGCGUGUUAGGGAGUGGGAGGAGAUAGAGCAGGGGAGUGGGAGGCCCUUCCAUGGCAAAUUCGUUGGCAUCUUCCAUGGAGAUUGCGACCUCUCUUGAUUUUUUGCUUGAGGAUUUCACCUCUGGAUCUGUCCACUGUAGUUCUUGUAUAGAGGUGUCCUUUUUUCUAGUGUUCCUCAAUGUUGAUGCAUGUGUUUAAUAACCCACUCAUACGAAUUCUAAAAACAAGCUUCAGUACAAGAAAAAUGGGUCGUCCAGUUCAAUUCUGAAUUAUAGGUGUGUGUAAACACAUCCUCCUUACACAGUAACUAAUUAACUAUGGUACCAUGUUCAGACUUCUACAAAUCCCGAAACUAUGCAGAGUUAGGAUUGUUACUACCUUGUUUCUUACUAUUGAUUCAUUUUUAUACUAUAUUGAGAUGGUACAUGUAGUUGGACAUCUCAAUAUACCGGUGAUUGCUUCUUGCUGCCUCUAUUUUUAUCAUGAUUUGGUGUGUGCACUGCAGGAGUGUUUUUGUUCCUAGAUCAUUUGCUCAACGACAGAAUUGUGUAUGGCACAGUACAUGUAUUACUACUAUGAACAUUCAGAAAUAAGAACUCAAAGAAGUAUUGACAGCAUAGCUACUGUAUAUUCAAGGAGUCGGGUUUUGCUCCUGCGUCAUCUCGUCUCCUCCGUUCAGCAAAAGCCUCUAGAUAAGUUCACACAUAUGGUUUUGUUCUUUCUAUAAUUCUUGAGUCCAGACUCCUUCGUUUUUUGUUCCUGAGAAAUUAAAUAAACCUGUAGAAGUUUGGGGUAUAAAAUUCUGUAAGUUCGAAAUCGGGAAACUGGUAAGUGCAGACAAAAUUAAAAUUGUCAAAGAACAUGAGAGUGUUUGUCAAAGAAUUGAGGCUUCCCCACGACAGUACAAACUUUUUAAAUGUUUGAAUUUUGUUACAGCAAAAACUGAAUGGGUGGCAAGAUGAAUAUAAUUAUUAUUAAAAGUUUCUUUUUGAACUUCUCGGGUUAAUAUACAUGAACUUGAUUAUAUUUUUAACCAGUUAAAUAUACAUGGUUGGCAAGAUGACUAUAGUUGUUAUAGCAAAAACAAUACAUUUUUCAAGAAAAGUUUUUGUUUGAACUUCUCCGAUUAAUAUAGAUGAACUCAAUUAUCUUUUUAAUAUGCACUCACAUGAGCUCGUUUGGAUUUGUGUGUAUAUUUGUAACACAAUCAGUUGAGAUCUGGAGAGAUUGUAAGUUCAGUCGGCCUUGGCAUCACGAGCGGGUUCAGUUCGAUCUCGCACAGUGGGCAGGGCCCCUUAUGGUGUGUGCGUCAGGUCUACUCGCACGAGUGGACGUCAGAUCACGCAAGUGGGCAGGUCCCCAAUGCUCGAUCCAGGAGGUGAUAGCUCAUGUUGGCUGGAACUAGGAUGCAAAAGGGUUGACGGAUCCAUGCCGCACAAGCACUGCGCCAUGCUCAGUCCAACCCCGUGGCUUCAGGGUGGCCGAGUUCGUCGCGACCAUCAGUUCGGAGAUCUGCGUCACUGCUCGUGUCACUACCAUGGCCACCUGCAUCACUGUGUGAUCCAUCAACAGCCUCUUGCACAAGGAAAAGCAACAGGAGUAGAGGCGUCUGAGAUGCUCUGUCCUGGCGACUAUGAGAAAGGCAAGUGCUUAUGCGGCUUUUGCUAAAGAAGAAAGGCCUAGCUUAACUGGCAUAGCAGUACUCAAAUUAGGUGUCGAUGUUGUGGAGGCUUUGGAUCUUUCCCUAGUUGCUUGACUCCAAUAAUUAUGCCUUUUGACAUUGUGCCAUUUGGUCGUCCUUUGGCCUUGUAUCAAACUUCUAGUCAUCUUGUUACAUCAGUUCAAAAGCAUAGAGGUGGUAAUGAUGUA
Long non-coding RNA from Triticum aestivum (bread wheat), 3419 nucleotides. RefSeq lists it as uncharacterized. The record is from RefSeq and is a predicted model, not a curated record. The transcript has 8 exons. Lineage: Eukaryota; Viridiplantae; Streptophyta; Magnoliopsida; Poales; Poaceae.